This 756-nucleotide long non-coding RNA is filed under the name Olea europaea (common olive). RNAcentral's name for it is "long non-coding RNA (OEUR_LNC013661)". The record is from RNAcentral. Lineage: Eukaryota; Viridiplantae; Streptophyta; Magnoliopsida; Lamiales; Oleaceae.
UGUUAUUGGGUGCUCCCAUUUUGUAUGUAUAGUAAUCAUUGCCUUCUUUUCAUCCAUAUCCUUACCAUUGAGGCUUUUUCCUACAAGAUUCAAUUAGAUUCACUGUUAAUUUUGCAGGAAACUGAGAUCGAUUUGAUUUGAGUGCAAUGGCUUACCGUAUUCCGAAAAGAGGAGAGAAUCGGAUCAAAAUUCAGAUUCUAAAGGACUGGGGAGAGGCACUAGCUUCUUUGAGUCCGGAAGCAGCUCGAUUGCUCUGUGGGAUCAGUGAACCGCGGCCGCCGCCGCCGCCGCCACCAGUGAUGAAUCUGCCGCCGCCAUCACUUCCCCAAUUAACCGCAUAAAUAUUCUGUUUGUAUGUAUGUAGUUCUGGAUUACGGUUUAAACUGUUAUCGGCAUGUAUUUUGUGUACAAUAAAUCUAGAACCAGUAUGUUGGGUUGUGUACUACUAGUGCAAAUUGUGUACUCUCUGCUGUUGGUUCGGAAGAAGGGAUCGAAUUCAUGGAGGCGUGAUAGAAAAAGGCAAAAAGUUACUGCAUAAAUCAUAUUACUUGUGAAUCUGGCCACUGGAAAUCGGAAAAUUUUGACUCGGCCAGUAGAGGGAAGAAAACCGAGUAUCGACUUGGACUCGGUGGCCUUUACGUCUGCUUUAUUUCCACGCAAGUAAUUGUCACGUGUAUAUUCGUGUGUAAUAUAUUUAUAAAGGCAACUCUAAUAGUACUUUCGAGUUGUACAAUUAAUUAAUUUUUUCUUAAACAU